RNAcentral lists this transfer RNA (77 nucleotides) under Vibrio alginolyticus. RNAcentral's name for it is "tRNA-Val". It matches the Rfam family "tRNA". Rfam says of the family: Transfer RNA (tRNA) molecules are approximately 80 nucleotides in length. Their secondary structure includes four short double-helical elements and three loops (D, anti-codon, and T loops). Further hydrogen bonds mediate the characteristic L-shaped molecular structure. tRNAs have two regions of fundamental functional importance: the anti-codon, which is responsible for specific mRNA codon recognition, and the 3' end, to which the tRNAs corresponding amino acid is attached (by aminoacyl-tRNA synthetases). tRNAs cope with the degeneracy of the genetic code in two manners: having more than one tRNA (with a specific anti-codon) for a particular amino acid; and 'wobble' base-pairing, i.e. permitting non-standard base-pairing at the 3rd anti-codon position. Lineage: Bacteria; Pseudomonadati; Pseudomonadota; Gammaproteobacteria; Vibrionales; Vibrionaceae. The record is from RNAcentral. RNAcentral also lists the same sequence under 2 other names.
GGGCGAUUAGCUCAGUUGGGAGAGCACCUGCCUUACAAGCAGGGGGGUCACUGGUUCGAGCCCGGUAUCGCCCACCA